RNAcentral lists this ribosomal RNA (251 nucleotides) under uncultured prokaryote. RNAcentral describes it as "partial 16S rRNA". It matches the Rfam family "Bacterial small subunit ribosomal RNA", at positions 525 to 775 of the family's 1533-position model. The record is from RNAcentral.
ACGUAGGGUGCGAGCGUUAUUCGGAAUUACUGGGCGUAAAGGGUAUGCAGGCGGCCCUUCAAGUCGCGUGUCAAAGUCCAGUGCUCAACGCUGGGUGUGCACGCGAUACUGACGGACUUGAGGGCUGGAGAGGUGAGCGGAAUUCCCAGUGUAGUGGUAAAAUGCGUAGAUAUCGGGAGGAACACCAGCGGCGCAGGCGGCUCACUAGACAGUUUCUGACGCUAAGAUACGAAAGCGUGGGGAGCAAACAG